Molecule: long non-coding RNA, 947 nt
Filed under: Hordeum vulgare
Lineage: Eukaryota; Viridiplantae; Streptophyta; Magnoliopsida; Poales; Poaceae
Description: long non-coding RNA (HVUL_LNC000282)
Source: RNAcentral
GUGGCUUCGGUCAGGACGGAAUACGUGUGUGGAGAGGAUAGCUUUGAGGGUGGUUGGGUGGAUAGCUUGUACUCCAAAUCCCUAAAUUCAUCCUUGAUAGUCAUAGAAUCCUUACAAACAACAUGUUCAUGAGGAAGGCAGGCCAGCCGGGUAAGAGUCAUCUCUUCUCCAGCUGCUCAGAAACAUGAAGAGACAUUCAUUUGAUAGAGAUGCUAUGGUGUUGCAAAGUCCUCAUAUUUUCGGAGAUGUUCAUGUCACUUUCCAAAGGCACAAUUAGGGACUAAACUAGAUAAACCUUGCUAUGAAUAGAGACAUUUGUGUCCUUCUAGAAGUAGGAUUUCCUUUUGACAAAAGAGACAUUCAUGAAAUUGCAAAUGAUGUGUGCUGCCUUGUAAACUAAUUCUUUGGGACCGAGCAAGGAGCACAAAAGCAGCUAUAAUAGUUAAAAUCAGGGUGGAUGAACUGAGAGAUGUCCUCUCAAGCAUAGUAGUGGGUGAAUCGAAGGAAGCUUAUUCUGAAUCUUGGACUGUCCCGGUGGUGAUAGUGCAAUAAGAAAUGCUUGCAGGAGGGCCACCUAAUGAAGAACCUAUCCAUGUGGAUGGUAACCCACAUCCUACGACGGACAACCCAAAUUUCCAUCAAAACCAACAUAACCAUUUCCUAGGACCAAUAAUGGAGCACCAAGCUCAAGAUGACAUGCAUAAGUAAUAAAAUCACCUAGAUCUCAACCAGGCUCAGGAUCCUCUAGAAGAUGGCAUGCGAAAUGAAGAAGAUGAGAUGUCGGGUUGGGGUCAUUGGGCAAUGCCAGUAGAGAAUGAUCUUAUUGAUUAAGAUAUAGUAGAGAAGGAAUUUCUCGAGUUGGCAAAUUUGAUUCAUCCUCUUGAUGUCCAUUUGCAGGUAGAUUUUCCAGAUAUGGAUGUUAAUAGUGAAAUAACUCUUUGUGUUGG